Molecule: ribosomal RNA, 435 nt
Filed under: Chlorella sp.
Lineage: Eukaryota; Viridiplantae; Chlorophyta; Trebouxiophyceae; Chlorellales; Chlorellaceae
Description: bacterial SSU rRNA
Rfam family: Bacterial small subunit ribosomal RNA
Source: RNAcentral
GUAGCUUGUUGGUGGGGUAAAGGCUUACCGAGGCGAUGAUCAGUAGCUGGUCUGAGAGGAUGAUCAGCCACACUGGGACUGAGACACGGCCCAGACUCCUACGGGAGGCAGCAGUGAGGAAUUUUCCGCAAUGGGCGAAAGCCUGACGGAGCAAUGCCGCGUGAAGGAUGAAGGCCUAUGGGUUGUAAACUUCUUUUCUCAGAGAAGAAUUUUUGACGGUAUCUGAGGAAUAAGCAUCGGCUAACUCUGUGCCAGCAGCCGCGGUAAGACAGAGGAUGCAAGCGUUAUCCGGAAUGAUUGGGCGUAAAGCGUCUGUAGGUGGCUUAAAAAGUCUUCUGUCAAAGAUCAGGGCUUAACCCUGGGCCGGCAGGAGAAACUCUUAGGCUAGAGUUUGGUAGGGGCAGAGGGAAUUCCCGGUGGAGCGGUGAAAUGCGU